CUUGCUACAUUACCUAGCGGCGGACGGGUGAGUAAUGCUUAGGAAUCUGCCUAUUAGUGGGGGACAACAUUUCGAAAGGAAUGCUAAUACCGCAUACGCCCUACGGGGGAAAGCAGGGGAUCUUCGGACCUUGCGCUAAUAGAUGAGCCUAAGUCGGAUUAGCUAGUUGGUGGGGUAAAGGCCUACCAAGGCGACGAUCUGUAGCGGGUCUGAGAGGAUGAUCCGCCACACUGGGACUGAGACACGGCCCAGACUCCUACGGGAGGCAGCAGUGGGGAAUAUUGGACAAUGGGGGGAACCCUGAUCCAGCCAUGCCGCGUGUGUGAAGAAGGCCUUUUGGUUGUAAAGCACUUUAAGCGAGGAGGAGGCUACCUAGAUUAAUACUCUGGGAUAGUGGACGUUACUCGCAGAAUAAGCACCGGCUAACUCUGUGCCAGCAGCCGCGGUAAUACAGAGGGUGCAAGCGUUAAUCGGAUUUACUGGGCGUAAAGCGUGCGUAGGUGGCCAAUUAAGUCA
This 516-nucleotide ribosomal RNA is filed under the name Acinetobacter lwoffii. RNAcentral describes it as "bacterial SSU rRNA". It matches the Rfam family "Bacterial small subunit ribosomal RNA", at positions 79 to 590 of the family's 1533-position model. Lineage: Bacteria; Pseudomonadati; Pseudomonadota; Gammaproteobacteria; Moraxellales; Moraxellaceae. The record is from RNAcentral.